GACGUAGGGUGCGAGCGUUGUCCGGAUUUAUUGGGCGUAAAGAGCUCGUAGGCGGCUCAGCAAGUCGGUCGUGAAAACCCGGGGCUCAACCCCGGGAGGCCGGUCGAUACUGCUGUGGCUAGGGUCCGGUAGAGGAGAGUGGAAUUCCCGGUGUAGCGGUGGAAUGCGCAGAUAUCGGGAGGAACACCAGUAGCGAAGGCGGCUCUCUGGGCCGGUACCGACGCUGAGGAGCGAAAGCUAGGGGAGCAAACAGG
Molecule: ribosomal RNA, 254 nt
Filed under: uncultured bacterium
Lineage: Bacteria
Description: partial 16S ribosomal RNA
Rfam family: Bacterial small subunit ribosomal RNA
Source: RNAcentral